AAUGGCCACGACGAGCAUGAAGUCCCUGACAUCGUAGGUAACGAUCAUGCAGUCUGCUGGGAUGAGGAUGAGGCCUGUUAAAUUCAAGUUUCCACACAGUCUGCUAGGAUGAGGAAGAGGCCUGUUAAAUUAAAGGGUUGCCUGCACAUGAACUGUGUACGUUGUCCAUGGAUGCUGUAUUGGUGGUUCAACUUGUCCUGGUGGCCAUAGUAUGGUCAUAAUGACAUUCAGGUGACGUAUGCACAAAAUGGCCUUUCACCAAGGACUAACAUAUUUCAAAGGACUAUGGUUUGUCCAAGACUAAGUGUGUGGAGUCCUUUGGUGGUAGUAGGCUGCACACCUGAAGCAUUCUCAACAGGUAAGAAUGUGCUUCCUAUAUCAAAUCCCACUACAAAUGGUCCCUUUUUAAUUAACUUGCACCUUUUCAAUGGUCAAUUCCCUCUGUAACCUAUGAUGAUUCUUGCAGUCUCGUUCGUCUGAAGUCCUGCUGAUAAAUGUACAUCUUGUACUGAUGUUACAGAACUAGCAUUUGUCUCUACACAUGUGGAACUCACCCAUCUGAAGUUUUCUUUU
Long non-coding RNA from Rhinichthys klamathensis goyatoka, 573 nucleotides. RefSeq lists it as uncharacterized. The record is from RefSeq and is a predicted model, not a curated record. Lineage: Eukaryota; Metazoa; Chordata; Actinopteri; Cypriniformes; Leuciscidae. The transcript has 8 exons.